UAUAAAGUAUUUUAUUUAAAAUAAAGUUUUGAAAAAGCUUAGAAGAAUAAUGUCUUACUCCUUUAUGU
Molecule: transfer RNA, 68 nt
Filed under: Botrylloides nigrum
Lineage: Eukaryota; Metazoa; Chordata; Ascidiacea; Stolidobranchia; Styelidae
Description: transfer RNA-Phe
Source: RNAcentral